ACUCACUACACUAACAUCCUUUUACUUUUCGGCAGACAGCAGGUCUCACUUUUCUGAAUUUUGGGAGAGAGUUAAGGAACUGUGAAGAAAUGAACAGAAAUCAGUAUGAUGUGUCUUUUUAUGCCGAUUUGUUUCGUUACCUCUUGUUCUUCAACUGGGCUUUGGUGAUUGCACUGAUUUGGAUUACAUACCUGGAAAUGGAUUUGAAAAGGAAAAUCAGAAAUUUCCAUCAAUCUCAAAAUUCCGCUGAUGCAAACAGCGUUUCUGAGAAUCUAUAGCCAUGAAGCGACCUUGAACCUUCACCACCAGGACAUGAUGGCACAUGUUGUAAUGAAAGUCUUGUUCUUUGCUUUGCUCGAGUGAUGUAUCUCUUCUUUGACCUCUUUUUGUUUUUGUCUAUCUGUUAAAUACAUUAUUGUAUUUUCACUUCUGCUUUGUCUGCUGUUG
Molecule: long non-coding RNA, 447 nt
Organism: Hemibagrus wyckioides
Lineage: Eukaryota; Metazoa; Chordata; Actinopteri; Siluriformes; Bagridae
Exons: 3
Source: RefSeq, a predicted model, not a curated record